Molecule: non-coding RNA, 54 nt
Organism: Salmo salar (Atlantic salmon)
Lineage: Eukaryota; Metazoa; Chordata; Actinopteri; Salmoniformes; Salmonidae
Source: Rfam
UAUACGCAUGACGGUAAGUCGCUUUGGAUAAAAGCGUCUGCUAAAUGUGAUACA